GCCGUUCUCCCGAUACCUCCUCUAAUAAGAUAUCGGAUAACUACAAUUGUUUGUCAAAAUCUCAAACUUGAAAAUAAUUGAUGAGCGAAACACAGACGUUGUUCUAAUACGCUGUACUGGAUUAUGUUUGAGAAUAAAAAGUAUUCCAUCUCUUAAAAUUUCCUGGCUAAUGUCUCAUUUCCCCCUCCCUUUCUUUGGAACGAGUUAUCCACGAAUCGAUCUAGAUGAAACAGAAGAUAGAUUCCGGAGGAUCUGCAUAAGUUCAUAGUAAAAAACAUCUCACCAG
RNAcentral lists this long non-coding RNA (286 nucleotides) under Populus trichocarpa (black cottonwood). Its description in RNAcentral is "long non-coding RNA (PTRI_LNC004254)". Lineage: Eukaryota; Viridiplantae; Streptophyta; Magnoliopsida; Malpighiales; Salicaceae. The record is from RNAcentral.